CCUACGGGAGUCAGCAGUGAGGAAUAUUGGUCAAUGGGCGGAAGCCUGAACCAGCCAAGUAGCGUGCGGGAUGAAGGCCCUACGGGUCGUAAACCGCUUUUUCACGGGGAUAACACCCUCCACUUGUGGAGGUCUGCAGGUACCGUUCGAAUAAGGGCCGGCUACUUCCGUGCCAGCAGCCGCGGUAAUCCGGAAGGCCCGAGCGUUAUCCGGAUUCAUUGGGGUUAAAGGGAGCGUAGGCGGGCGUUCAAGUUAGCUGGAAAAUCGGGCGGCUCACCCGCGCCCCGCAGUUGAAACUGGACGCCUUGAGGUCACAACAGGCAGGCGGAAUUCGUGGUGUAGCGGUGAAAUGCAUAGAUAUCACGAGGAACCCCGAUUGCGAAGGCAGCUUGCCGGGGUGCGACUGACGCUGAGGCUCGAAGGUGCGGGUAUCAAACAGGAUUAGAUACCCUAGUAGUC
Molecule: ribosomal RNA, 459 nt
Filed under: uncultured bacterium
Lineage: Bacteria
Description: partial 16S ribosomal RNA
Rfam family: Bacterial small subunit ribosomal RNA
Source: RNAcentral